Molecule: ribosomal RNA, 104 nt
Filed under: Mus pahari (shrew mouse)
Lineage: Eukaryota; Metazoa; Chordata; Mammalia; Rodentia; Muridae
Source: RNAcentral
GCCUUACCACCCUGAAAGUGCCUGAUCUCAUCUGAUCUUGGAAGCUAAGCAGAGUUGAGCCUGGUUAGUACUUGGAUGGGAGACCUCCUGGGAAUAUCAGGUGC